UCCCCUACUGGCGACUCUAUCUCCAAAUAUCGUGAGCCUAAGGGGGCAUGGGGCCAAUGGGGCCAACACGAUAUGUCGGUACUCUGGCUUUACAUGGAGGAUUGAGGUCAUCGGAUUCUACAUCCGAGUCAUCAUCAUCAUUGCCCUCUGGCUCUUCCUCUUCAAGGUCCACUUACUGAGUCGGCGGGUUCGCCUGCGAGUUCUACUUCGUGUUCCUCCUGGGGUUCUUCCUCUGGGUCGAGCCACCAUACUAUUCCUUGACUAGGGAGAUAAGGUUUCCUGGCUAAUGAUACUCGUGUAUAGCGUAUUGCGCGAAGGGCUAUGAAUACUAGAAACAAAUAGCAUACCAAUUACUCCUAUAAUUCUACAACUAUUGCAUGGAUUCAGUUGAGGUUCCCUUUUUGGAGAUUAAGGGGUAUGAUUUUAGGUUCCUAGCUAUCACGAUUUCUUCACGACAUGUGAUGGUUGUACCUUGGAGGGAAUGUAGUUGAUCAGGCUACAUCCGCCCCUUGAUACAACUAAGAACAGUCCUGAAUUAACCGAGAUACUAGCAUUAUCUUGUUUGGUUCGGUGUUAAGUUCUCGUUCCUAAUACAAGCAAGGGUGUUUUAUUGUUAUGUUUUACUUGUUUUGUUCAGAGUUAUGUUAGUCCCUCUUUUGGUUUAUAGUUGCAUAUCAAUGUAUGGUUAGAUAUGCUAGUUCACUAUAAACAGAGCUCUGAUACCAACCUGUCACACCCCCGAACCAGACGGCGGAAACGUCCGGGGGCUGUUGUGACUCAAUUGAAUACCAUCACAAUGAAUAUACAUGAAACAUAACAUCAUUCNUAUUGUUAUGUUUUACUUGUUUUGUUCAGAGUUAUGUUAGUCCCUCUUUUGGUUUAUAGUUGCAUAUCAAUGUAUGGUUAGAUAUGCUAGUUCACUAUAAACAGAGCUCUGAUACCAACCUGUCACACCCCCGAACCAGACGGCGGAAACGUCCGGGGGCUGUUGUGACUCAAUUGAAUACCAUCACAAUGAAUAUACAUGAAACAUAACAUCAUUCGUCACCA
RNAcentral lists this long non-coding RNA (1050 nucleotides) under Lactuca sativa (garden lettuce). RNAcentral's name for it is "long non-coding RNA (LSAT_LNC002787)". The record is from RNAcentral. Lineage: Eukaryota; Viridiplantae; Streptophyta; Magnoliopsida; Asterales; Asteraceae.